AAAUGUCUUCAGGGCAGGGUGCAAUUCCCGACCGGCGGUGACUUUUCGUUUACUGUUCCAGCUUGAUGGCCUGCAGAGUAGUUCUGCAGAGCUGAUGCUUAAAAAUAAGCAGCAGGAAUAUGAAGCGAGAAGAAGUCCGCGAGCGCAAGCUGAUGCGGUGCAAUUCCGCAACCGACAGUAAAGUCUGGAUGGGAGAAGACGAAG
Molecule: non-coding RNA, 204 nt
Filed under: Streptococcus sp.
Lineage: Bacteria; Bacillati; Bacillota; Bacilli; Lactobacillales; Streptococcaceae
Also listed under: 1 other name
Description: FMN sequence
Rfam family: FMN riboswitch aptamer (RFN element)
About the family: The RFN element is a highly conserved domain that is found frequently in the 5'-untranslated regions of prokaryotic mRNAs that encode for flavin mononucleotide (FMN) biosynthesis and transport proteins. This element is a metabolite-dependent riboswitch that directly binds FMN in the absence of proteins.
Source: RNAcentral